AGCCCCUUAGUCUAGCGGCAAGGACGACAGGCUCUGGACCUGUAAACACCGGUUCAAAUCCGAUAGGGGCUA
RNAcentral lists this transfer RNA (72 nucleotides) under Candidatus Parvarchaeum acidophilus ARMAN-5. It matches the Rfam family "tRNA". Rfam says of the family: Transfer RNA (tRNA) molecules are approximately 80 nucleotides in length. Their secondary structure includes four short double-helical elements and three loops (D, anti-codon, and T loops). Further hydrogen bonds mediate the characteristic L-shaped molecular structure. tRNAs have two regions of fundamental functional importance: the anti-codon, which is responsible for specific mRNA codon recognition, and the 3' end, to which the tRNAs corresponding amino acid is attached (by aminoacyl-tRNA synthetases). tRNAs cope with the degeneracy of the genetic code in two manners: having more than one tRNA (with a specific anti-codon) for a particular amino acid; and 'wobble' base-pairing, i.e. permitting non-standard base-pairing at the 3rd anti-codon position. The record is from Rfam by way of RNAcentral. Lineage: Archaea; Nanobdellati; Candidatus Parvarchaeota.